This 112-nucleotide ribosomal RNA is filed under the name uncultured eukaryote. RNAcentral describes it as "partial small subunit ribosomal RNA". It matches the Rfam family "Eukaryotic small subunit ribosomal RNA", at positions 1676 to 1785 of the family's 1831-position model. The record is from RNAcentral.
UCGCUACUACCGAUUGAACAUUUUAGUGAGGUAUCUGGACUGGUGCUUAGGAGCUGGCAACAGCCCCUUUGCAUUGGGAAAUUUCCCAAACUUGGAUGUUUAGAGGAAGUAA